UGGGGAAUAUUGCACAAUGGGCGCAAGCCUGAUGCAGCCAUGCCGCGUGUGUGAAGAAGGCCUUCGGGUUGUAAAGCACUUUCAGCGAGGAGGAAGGUGGUGGACUUAAUACGUUCAUCAAUUGACGUUACUCGCAGAAGAAGCACCGGCUAACUCCGUGCCAGCAGCCGCGGUAAUACGGAGGGUGCAAGCGUUAAUCGGAAUUACUGGGCGUAAAGCGCACGCAGGCGGUUUGUUAAGUCAGAUGUGAAAUCCCCGGGCUCAACCUGGGAACUGCAUUUGAAACUGGCAAGCUAGAGUCUCGUAGAGGGGGGUAGAAUUCCAGGUGUAGCGGUGAAAUGCGUAGAGAUCUGGAGGAAUACCGGUGGCGAAGGCGGCCCCCCUGGACGAAGACUGACGCUCAGGUGCGAAAGCGUGGGGAGCAAAACAGGAUUAGAUACCCUGGUAGUCCACGCUGUAAACGAUGUCGAUUUGGAGGUUGUGCCCUUGAGGCGUGGCUUCCGGAGCUAACGCGUUAAAUCGACCGCCUGGGGAGUACGGCCGCAAGGUU
This 550-nucleotide ribosomal RNA is filed under the name uncultured bacterium. RNAcentral's name for it is "partial 16S ribosomal RNA". It matches the Rfam family "Bacterial small subunit ribosomal RNA", at positions 355 to 895 of the family's 1533-position model. The record is from RNAcentral.